This 253-nucleotide ribosomal RNA is filed under the name uncultured bacterium. RNAcentral describes it as "partial 16S ribosomal RNA". It matches the Rfam family "Bacterial small subunit ribosomal RNA", at positions 524 to 776 of the family's 1533-position model. The record is from RNAcentral.
UACGUAGGGUGCAAGCGUUGUCCGGAAUUAUUGGGCGUAAAGGGCUCGUAGGCGGUCCAUCGCGUCGGGAGUGAAAAGCUGGGGCUCAACCCCAGUCCUGCUUCCGAUACGGGUGGACUAGAGGUAGGCAGGGGAGAACGGAAUUCCUGGUGUAGCGGUGAAAUGCGCAGAUAUCAGGAGGAACACCGGUGGCGAAGGCGGUUCUCUGGGCCUUACCUGACGCUGAGGAGCGAACGCGUGGGGAGCAAACAGG